UUAGAGCAAAAGAGAGGGACAUUCGGCCUCUAUAAAAAAAAAUGUUGGGCUCAAAUCUUUGGCUCAAAAUUCAUCUCUUGUGAAUUCCUACUAAGCCCGGAACUCUCUUCAACGUGGUAUAAACUUUGAGGCAAGAAAGUACUUUUUUUACAAAGUGGAGAAUUUGGAAAAGAGAUUGGAGAGCCCGAGACUUGAUUCGGAAAUUGAUUAGCGAGCGAUCGAGGUAUGUAAAGCCUAUCGUUCCUUCUUUUUUGGCAUGAUCCUUUUUGGAAGAAACAAAAUGUAUAUGUAUGCUUAUAAGGAAAAUCCUAUUCUUAGAGCCACUAGGUUGGCUAACAUCUUUGACCUCCAUAAGCUAUCCCACAUGGCUGGAUACAUAUUCUAUGAUGUUCAAAGAUUUUAUUUGUUAUGUUUCGAAUGUUGUUCGAAAGAAAAACGAGAAGACUAAAGCCUUUGAUGAAUAUUUCGAUAUGAAAAUAUGGUCUUAAAGUCCCCAUUUGAUUUGAUCCAUAAUGCUAUCUGCAAGUUUCCUAGUAUGAAUAUGGGAUCCACAAUGAUGUCCGAAAAAUAUUUGAUAUGGCCAAAGUUUGGAUAUGUAUAUUUUGGAUAGGUGCAUAUGAUUCUAAAGCUCCGUUUGAAGUGCUCCAUAAUGUUAUUUGAAAGCUUCUUAAUAUAAAUGGUACUCGAAUUUCUAAGUAUGACUUAUGAAAUAUUUUCAGAAAAUGACCUAUGAUGUGUUUUUCGAAAGUUUUGUAAUUUGAAAGUUCGUAACUUUUGUAUACAAAUUCCGAUGGACUCGAUGCUUACCUUGAGCCUUCUAAUAUCAGUAUGUAUAUGUAUUUAUUCGUCGAGUCUUGGAAUUCAUUUAAAUAUGUAUAUGCAUAUGGUUUCCGCACUACUCUGCUCGUGCCUACUACUAUGAUAUCGUUCGCCGGAUCCCGGGCCGGUUUUGUGAUCGUGCGCACUAUGUUAUAUUCGGCAGUAUGAUGUGUUACGGUUCCCGAGACCUCGCCAUAGGGCCGGGUUCCGCUUAUAUAUAUACGGCGUUAUGAUGUGAUAUGGCAUAUGAUAUGUUCUGAUGUUUUGAUAUGAUAUGAUGAUAUGAUAUGUUUGGGGAUUGUACGGAGAUUUGAAACCUUCUGGAGUAUGAUGUGUUGUGGCGCCAGCGUCGGAGUGGUGACCACGUUCCUGAGCCUUAUGCAUGAUUUUAUUUGCAUUAUUAUGCUUUUAAAACAGGUACAGACGUUCGUUUUGUGAUCCUCCGGUAUAAGAUACAUAUUCUGCCACUUGGAGUACUCCUUUUUUAUCCGGAGCUCAUAUUUUGGUACAUAUCUUCUGUUAUGCAUAUUCUGUAUAUAUGUGACUAUUUGGGUACGGCGGGGCCCUGUCCCGUCAUAUGUUUCUGUUAUGGUUUGUAGAGGUCUGUAGUCAUAUAUAUGGGUCAUGGGUCAUGUUUGUUCGUUUGUGAUUAUGAUCUGAGUCUUAAUGCGGCCUCGUUUGCUAUUAUGGCCAAAACGGCUCAUUUGUCUGUAUAUGUGUAUAUAUCUGGCGAUGUGUAUUCCGCCAAUCUAUCGGAUUUGGAUAUGAUGUUUCUGUACGGGCGACCGCUUAAGACGAUAUUUGC
Lycium barbarum (goji berry) is the source of this 1624-nucleotide long non-coding RNA. RefSeq lists it as uncharacterized. The transcript is spliced from 3 exons. The record is from RefSeq and is a predicted model, not a curated record. NCBI's taxonomy places the organism in Eukaryota, Viridiplantae, Streptophyta, Magnoliopsida, Solanales, Solanaceae.